UGAAACAGCAUAAAAGUCUUGUUCGGUA
RNAcentral lists this non-coding RNA (28 nucleotides) under Bombyx mori (domestic silkworm). Lineage: Eukaryota; Metazoa; Arthropoda; Insecta; Lepidoptera; Bombycidae. RNAcentral also lists the same sequence under 1 other name. The record is from RNAcentral.